AAAACUCUGUGAUGAUUCCUCAAGGACGGUAUCUGAGUGAGGUUGUGCUGGAAAAGCCUUCCUCCAAUGAUUACAUCCAAACUGACAAGGAAUUCUGAGUAUAAC
Dichanthelium oligosanthes is the source of this 105-nucleotide small nucleolar RNA. It matches the Rfam family "Small nucleolar RNA Z118/Z121/Z120". From Rfam's summary of the family: This family consists of several snoRNA Z118, Z121 and Z120 sequences which are members of the C/D class of snoRNA which contain the C (UGAUGA) and D (CUGA) box motifs. This family seems to be found exclusively in rice. The record is from Rfam. Lineage: Eukaryota; Viridiplantae; Streptophyta; Magnoliopsida; Poales; Poaceae.